Molecule: long non-coding RNA, 1102 nt
Organism: Anopheles arabiensis
Lineage: Eukaryota; Metazoa; Arthropoda; Insecta; Diptera; Culicidae
Exons: 3
Source: RefSeq, a predicted model, not a curated record
AAAAUCAUUCCAACACAGCCCAUUCUCGUUCAUCCGGGGCCCCGUUGAACAAGCCGUGGGUUUUUGACGUUCAAAAAUAGCUGCAUCUCGCUCAUUUUGUCUAGCCAUCCUUUACUCGCCAGCAGUGCUCGCUUCGAGGUGAGCUUCUGUGCUUCCCCUCAACCACUUCACUCCAAACACUUCGACGACCUAUUUCCAUAAGCCUUUCGUUGUUUGGUGACAAUCUACGAGCAUCAUAUACCGAGGUGUGUAUGCUCUCGCUCGAUUAGUCGUACCGUCUCUUUCGUGCACAUGGACGCGUGAAAAUGUAUACAACUUGGUGGUUGGUGCUGAAUAGAAGUGCUCAAUUUGUUGAUUAUUUUGAAUGAAAAUCAAAAGAUAAUGGGUACACGUGUUAUUUUAUUAAUAGCAGAAAGGUUUUACAUUACUGUGCAACGCAUAGGAUCGCCGUUCAUAGUGCUCGCACGCCCGCAGCUGAGCGAGAUGUUUAUUUAUUUCAUUUAUGUGAUGUGAGAUGUGAUGAGGCAAAACAUCAGGCGACAGAUUAACAAAAUGAGAUACUGUGUUAUAAGUGCGAAAAGUUUAAGUGGGUAAUUUGGAUGAGGCAGUAUGGAUAGAGGUGUGGCAAUGGAAAACGGGACUGCGACAAUGCGCCGAUAUUCAGAUCAACGGAAAGCAGCUAAACCACCGAUCAGGGAAGAACCAUGGCCAAUAUGUCCCGUAGUUUUGUUGUGUGUGCUGCCAGGCGAAAACUAGUGCAGAUUAACCAGGUGAAACUUAACACAAUCGCACACCAGUUCGAGCUUUUUGGUAGCCAUCUUGAACCCUAAAAAACCCUCGCUCGAAAAGUCAAAAACCAUCACAACGACUUACAAAAACAAUCGCCAGCGAGGGAAAAUUGCACCGAUCUGGAGCGUUGGCGAGAACUCGAAAACCAGAUUUUGGCCUGCGGCUUAUGUUUACACGAUCGGGUGCGAUUCUUUUCGAUGCGAAAGUUGUAAAGGGUCGCUUACACAGAGUGCUGUUUGUUUGUCAAAAUAGAUCGCAUUCGUUAAAAUCUGUCAUUUAAUUCAAACAUCAAACCAAAACUGGCUUCGCCAAA